GUGAAAUGAUGAGUUAUGUCAUGCUAAUACUGAGUGCUCACACGUCGGUCUCUAUGACGACGUGCUGGAGCUCAAUGAGUUGAAACACUUCUCAGAAAGUAUAAUCUGAUCACA
This 114-nucleotide small nucleolar RNA is filed under the name Patiria miniata (bat star). Lineage: Eukaryota; Metazoa; Echinodermata; Asteroidea; Valvatida; Asterinidae. The record is from RNAcentral.